Long non-coding RNA from Daphnia pulicaria, 1379 nucleotides. RefSeq lists it as uncharacterized. The transcript is spliced from 2 exons. The record is from RefSeq and is a predicted model, not a curated record. NCBI's taxonomy places the organism in Eukaryota, Metazoa, Arthropoda, Branchiopoda, Diplostraca, Daphniidae.
CAUUCAGAAACUUCUAGCAAUUGCGCAAAGAGUGUUUGGCAAACAAGUUUUUUUUUUUACGUAAUAUCUGUUUUGAAUUCAUACACAAAGAAAAGCAGCAUUCACAGAUAACUGGACAACCGAAAUGUCAAGCAACCAAAGUAGUCAAAAUUCUGAGCUUCCACAAGAUAUUCUGAACAAAAUUUCCGAAUACUUGAGAGAUCAGACGAAAAAUUUUGUGACGCUGAUUUGUUUUUUUCGCUGACAAUGACAACGAAAGCACCACAAAGUACAUCAAAAUUUUGAGAACUGUUUUCAAUAACGAAAAGGCAUUCGAAGGCGUGGUGGAUAAGCUGGUGGAAGACACAACGAAGCUCAGAGAUGAUCCCAACUAUCUCCGGGUAAUGGCCGACAUUUGGAACAAUUAUUUGGAACCCAACGAAAAGAAGAAUGUCGGCGACGGACAGCGAUUUGAUUUCCAGUUGAUUCUGUCCAACAAGGAGCUAAUGGAAGCAACUACUUCCUACAACUUCAUCGCCACACUAUCAAAGCUUGAUCCGUCAGCUCAGGAAAGGGUGGUUCAACUGAUGAUAAACGCAGCAAUGAACACGGUGGGAACUGAUUUAGCGUUAACAUUAAAUCAAAGUUUCAACAACCUCCUGCAAGUGUCGAGAUAACCAGCAGCAGGAAAAAUGGUGUCAGUUGGUUUGCUGGCCGUUUAUCUCAAUAUCGAAGUUUGGAAUAAUUUGAAACUUUGGUGGAGAGGAGAGAUUUCAGGAAAACGGUGUGCCAAAAACAUCAUCGACAGUUUGGCAGGAGUAGCAGGCGGAUAUGGUGGAGGAAUGGCUGGAGCCGCAAUGGGCACUUACAUUUUCCCUGUUUUUGGCACUGUAAUCGGAGGAGUUGUUGGCAGUAUAGCUGGAACGACAGUGACAACCAGUCUGUGCGACUGGGCUACUCAAAAGAUAUUCGACUUGCCCAAAGAUGUUGCACUAGAAAACGCAUACAGAUUUCUAGGAUUACAAAAUGGCGCAUCGAAUAAUGAAAUCAAUUCGAGUUUUAGGCAUCUGGCAUUGAUGUAUCAUCCGGACAAGGGCGGAAACUACGACGAUUGGCACAAACUUCAAUUUUCUAUGGCCAUCAUCAAAAUGUCUAAAGGUGAAAUUUAAACGUCCUCAUCACCUCCAGCGAUUCUUAGGCACAUUUCGAUGGUUAAAAACUUUAAUAUUGGAUGUGCAAAUACAUACGUCUGUUUAAUCGGGAAAUUUUAAAAGAAGUGAUAAUAUUUCUGUCGAUAAUGUGACGUAACGUUGUUAAAAAUUAGAUUGCCAUUCUUGACAUGACAAACGCAGUGUUAAACCCGAUGCUUCAAAUGGUAAUACACUACAUAUUCUGAUGCA